This is an RNA transcript of Corythoichthys intestinalis (scribbled pipefish), 2635 nucleotides long. It is a transcript of the gene named TAR DNA binding protein a, with no coding region annotated. Lineage: Eukaryota; Metazoa; Chordata; Actinopteri; Syngnathiformes; Syngnathidae. The record is from RefSeq and is a predicted model, not a curated record. The transcript has 6 exons.
UACUUGGUAAGAUGACGUCAGCGCCAAAUGUAACGCAGCCAUUUUGUUAGCUAACCCUGCAGGUAACCGGUGGCGCGUGUUGUUGCUAAUUACGUGCGCUGUGCGUAGCAAAAUCGAACCAUUGAACUUCGAAAUUGACUUUGUUCUUUUCGACCGUUAGGGCAUAGGUAAGAAAAAGGGUCUGUGACUGCAAGUCGACUGCUCGAAAGGGAGCUCAUUCAUUAGUCAAGAUCUGUCGAGUUUUUGCUAGCUUCGAUAGCCAGUCAGCUAAGUAGUUUGCCGUCGAUAAAGGAAGAAAGUGACGCUGUUUGCGCCCCGCAGCCCAAGCAAAUCAAACGUUCGGGCAUUCAGAGGAAUACGAGUGUCUACGUCUGUAGUUUUUUUGCAAUUGGGUUUGCAUAAGGGAGAGCCUGAGUGGCAAACUCGAGCGCAUCGUUUUGCGUGAUUAGCUCCCUCGAAGCGGGGUAGCACCAGAGGCUUCAAGCUGGCUACCGGCCUUUCAGAAAACAUGUCCGAGUUGUACAUUCGGGUGGCCGAAGAUGAGAACGAAGAGCCGAUGGAGAUCCCCUCGGAGGACGACGGCACGGUUCUGCUCUCGUCUGUCGCGGCCCAAUUUCCAGGGGCGUGCGGUCUUCGCUACAGGAACCCCGAGUCCCAGUGCAUGCGCGGAGUCCGGCUUGUGGAGGGCGUCCUGCACGCUCCGGAGAGCGACUGGGGGAACCUGGUCUACGUGGUCAACUACCCCAAAGACAACAAAAGAAAGAUGGAGGAAAUAGACGCUGCUUCAGCUGUGAAAGUCAAACGGGGUUAUCAGAAAACAUCAGACCUGAUUGUUCUCGGCCUGCCCUGGAAAACCACUGAACAAGACCUGAAAGAUUAUUUCACCACUUUUGGCGAGGUCAUCAUGGUACAGAUCAAGAGGGAUGCAAACACUGGGAACUCCAAAGGGUUUGGCUUUGUGCGUUUCACCGAAUAUGAAACCCAAGUUAAAGUGAUUUCUCAGAGACACAUGAUAGACGGACGAUGGUGCGACUGCAAGCUCCCCAACUCCAAGUCAUUUACAGAUGAGCCCAUGCGGAGUCGGAAAAUCUUUGUGGGCCGCUGCACGGAGGACAUGACCCCCGAUGAGCUGCGACAGUACUUCAUGCAGUACGGAGAAGUCACGGACGUCUUCAUCCCCAAACCCUUUCGGGCCUUUGCGUUCGUCACCUUCGCCGAUGAUCAGGUGGCCCAGGCCUUGUGCGGAGAGGACCUGAUCAUCAAGGGCGUCAGCGUGCACAUCUCUAACGCCGAGCCCAAACACAAUAAUAGUAGGCAAAUGAUGGAGAGGGGUCGAUUUGGGGCGGGCGGUUUUAGUCAGGCGUAUGGCGCGAGUCGUGGCGGGCUGGGUGCAGGGGGUGGCGGAGGGAAGGGUGGGGUCAACUUCAGCGCCCUGGGUCUCAAUCCGGCCAUGGUGGCCGCUGCCCAGGCGGCGCUGCAGAGCAGUUGGGGCAUGAUGGGCAUGCUGGCCAACCAGCAGGGAAUGAGCACGGCGGCUGGGGGCUCGGCCGCCACCACCCGCGAUCAGACGUACAGCUCAUCCAGCGCCAGUUACAGCAGUUCCACCACUGCCGGGCUAGGCUGGCCUGCAGGCACUAAUUCUGCCUCAGGCGGCGGUGGUGGCGGUUUCAGCUCGGGCUUCAGCGCCUCCAUGGAGACAAAGUCUUCCAACUGGGGCAUGUAGAUAAAUAGGCGUCAGUAUCCUAGACCGGGGCUCGGGUUCUGCCGUUAGAUUAGAUACCACAACGUUUAGUUGGAUGUUUUCAUCAAUUUAGCUUAGCACUCAGAGACUGUACAGAAAAAUGUUCCCAAGCCCUGGUCUAGGCACAUCUGGUAAGUACUAUAACAAAAACGAAACAAAAGAGGAAAAAAAACACUGCCUUUUUUUUUUUUUUGUUAACAACAAACAUGAAAUGUGUGUGUGUGGCACAAGUCAUGAGUGAAUUUAGUCAACUGCUUUUCAGAAAAUAAUGUGCAUGCAGCAUUGUCUGUAAACGUGAGCGAGUAGCACACGAGUGACAGCCAGUCCCUCUCAAAGUGGGCUUGAUAUUAUUGUGUUAUGGAUGCAGUGCAUUUCUAUUUUCUUUUUUCUUCUGACCUGACCUGAUGGAAACGCCUCACCGACCAUCUCUCCUGCAGUAAACCAACUGUUUCGCAAUCUCCCGGGAGGAAGCGCCUCACUGGCAGCAAUGUUCUACAGAUCUCAGUAUCACGUGUAAACGCUUUGCCAUCAGCACCACACAAGCUUCACUCUGCAUUUACUGUGCUCCACGGGGCCCUCGGACAUGGAACACCGGAACCAGGAGUCGCUCACGGUGGGAAGUUGAAGACCGCGGGAGAACUCGCAAUGGAAUUUCUACACGAAUGCCUUAAAUCCAGAAAAGGAUCAUCUUCAUUCCAUGCACAAGAAUCCUUGGACCCUCCAAUGUGUAGUUGGCCCCAAGUCUCAUCGAAAACCUCUGCAGUCCAUUCUAAUGACAGGUUGUUGUUUUUUUCUUCAUAUCAUUGUAUAUUUGGUUCGCACAAGCUGAUCUUGUAAGGGAAUAAUAAUGGACAAAUCAUUUAGCCUUGUGGAAAAAUAAAAGCUUUUGAUUUG